RNAcentral lists this ribosomal RNA (120 nucleotides) under uncultured bacterium. Its description in RNAcentral is "partial 16S ribosomal RNA". It matches the Rfam family "Bacterial small subunit ribosomal RNA", at positions 28 to 146 of the family's 1533-position model. The record is from RNAcentral.
GAUGAACGCUGGCGGCGUGCUUAAGACAUGCAAGUCGAACGAAAUCCUUGUAGCAAUACGGGGGUUGAGUGGCGAAUGGGUGCGUAACACGUAGGUGACCUGCCCUGAAGCGGGGAAUAA